RNAcentral lists this long non-coding RNA (1128 nucleotides) under Carassius auratus (goldfish). RNAcentral's name for it is "lncRNA (ENSCARG00000020879.1)". Lineage: Eukaryota; Metazoa; Chordata; Actinopteri; Cypriniformes; Cyprinidae. The record is from RNAcentral.
UUCCGCUGGUUCCGUCCAGCCCUGAUCCCCCUGUAUACCCUCUCAGUCUCCCUACCUCCUCCAGUCAGUUCCUCUGCUCCAUUUCCGCUGGUUCCGCCCAGCUCUGAAUUUUCUGUUUCUCCGCUGGUUCCACCCAGCCCUGAAUUUCCUGUGUCUCCGCUGGUUCCGCCCAGCUCUGAAUUUCCUGUUUCUCCGCUGGUUCCGCCCAGCUCUGAAUUUCCUGUGUGUCCGCUGGUUCCUCCCAGCUCUGAAUUUUCUGUAUCUCCACUGGUUCCGCCCAGCUCUGAAUUUUCUGUGCCCCCGCUGGUUCCGCCCAGCUCUGAAUUUCCUGUGUCUCCUGUAUUAACUCCCAGCCUCCCUCUCCCACCUCCUCCUAGACCUGCCAGUUCCCCUGCUCCACUUCCGCUGGUUCUGUCCAGCCCUGAUCCUCCUGUGUUUCCUCCCAUCCUUCCCCUCUCUCCUCCUCCUAGACCAGCCAGUUCCACGACCUCAUCUCCGCUGGUGCCAGUCUGUCCCGCAACUCACCCUCAGUCCUCGCCAUCUGGGCGCGAUGGUUCGCCACUGGGCUGCCAGUCUCCAGCUCCACCUUGGUGUGUUAAAGCCCUGUCUCCGCCUCCAGCCUCCGAGCCCUGGACUCCUCCUCGGUCCUUCGACCCAGUGGCUCCGCCUUGGCUCUUAGCUGCCUUGUCUCCACCAUGGCCUGGCAGCCCACCUGCUCCACCGGGCUCCCUCGUCCCUCCGGCUCCACCUUGGUCAGUCGUCGACCAUCUGCCACCUCGGUACUCCACUCCUCUGGCUUCACCUCGUCACUCCAUCCCUUCGGCUCUGUCAGGCUCCUCCUUCCCUCUGGUUCCACCUCCAUCCUCGGUCACUCCGGCUCCACAGCGGUCUUCCAGGACCCCACCUCCGCCUUGGUCGCCUGAGCCUUCUGCUCCACCUAGGCCCUCCGGAUCAUCAACGUCACCCUGGCUCUGUGGCUGCGCUGCUCCAUCUUGGGCUCCUCACCCACCAGUGCAGUCUCCGCCUGUCGGCCCCCUGGUGUCGUCGGCUCAUUCUCCACCAUGGCUCUUUCAGAGUUUUCUUUAUUUUCAUGACUAUGAAAAUCUUGAUUGGGUUCAGGUCCGGUGA